UUUUUUUUUUUUUAAAACUUUUCUUUUGGGUUGUUUUGCUUUGGUGCUUUUUAGUAAUGUUUGAGAGACUAUUUCACUGUGUAGCUCUGUCUGACCUGGAACUUAGGUAAAUUAUACUGGCUUUGAACUCAUGGGGAGCCUUCUGCCUCACCCCCAACACACACACACACACACACACACACACACUAGAUAGAUAGAUAGAUAGAUAGAUAGAUAAUAUUUUUCAAAAGAAUUAGUGUAAAGGUGGCUAAAUAUGGAAUUUGAUGAUAAAGUACUUCUCUAGCAUUUGCUAGCCUGGCUGUCUCCAGCACUGAAAGAAAAAAGGUUUCUAUAAAGACAUAUAUUAUAUGAUAUAUAAUUUAUAUCAAUUCAAUAUGCCAAUUUAUUUUGCCUGAAUUGCUGUGGUAGUAAUUGAGAGUAUUUUAACAUAUAAAUGAAAGUUCAUGAACAAAGGUACCCACUUCCUCAUUAUUUUCUUUUGAAAAGAGAUUACAAGUGUAAGAUAAACUGACUUUAAUUGCAAAGAAAAAAUGUCAGGAGUGACAUUUCAACACUUCUGCAUACUAAUGAGCUCAGCUAAAAGAAAUAUAAAAUCAACCAGGCGGCUGUCAUUAGUUUCUUCGGGAUCUCGCUUCCAGAGGAAUAAACAAUUAAUGUGUUAAAAUGAUUCACUGCUAACAUAUCAUUAGGGACCAUAAAUAUCAUCCUGACCAUGUUGAUUGGACCCUGACAGGGAUGGGCACAAAUGCCAUUUAGUUUGCAGUAUGACACGCUAAUGAAAAUGUUCCAGAAUGUUCUGAGAUUGGGAGUAAGGGUGUCCCUGUGAGAAGAGAGCACAGUUGGCAGUGGAGAGUUGAGUCAAUAAGUCAGCCAUCAGACCUUCGGACCAGUCACCGUGUUGCAUGCUUCUGACACAUCUCACCAUAACCCUCGACUUGGCAGCCUCAAAGCAGGGCUGUCUCAGAGACUGUUGCUUAGGCUAUGUGAGGCUGAGUACCUCCCAGAGUUUACAGGAGAACGUCCUUCUCGCCUGUUGUAGUUAAUUGGGUCACAGUAGUACUUGGUCUUGAACCCUUGCACUGUGUGUGUUACCAUCCACAGUCAAUCAUCCCAAUAGAGUGAGUUAAUUCUGCACUUUCUAAAGCAUUUUAGUGAAGUAAAACUCAGGGUUUUUUUUUCCAUAUGAAAGUCAAAGAAAAUAUAUGCAGGAUAUCUUUUAAGAGGAUAUCUUUUAAGCUGUUAUUGACUUUCACUUCAUACUCACACACAAGUAUUGGGUUAGAAAUUUUUAUGCAAGUUAAAACAAUUUGUCAGCAAUUGAGAUAAGCAGGAGGGUACAUGCUUUGAGCAUGCUUGCUGACACAGACAGGGACAAUUCUAGCAAACCUAUCUCAAGUCUAACCUUCUCCUUUAUUAAACAACAAUGAAGGAAAAAAAAAACCUUAUUAACUCCUCGUCUUCAUUGAAAACUGUCCUCAGCAUCACAAAUUUUAAAUAAUUCAUCCAUUCAUUCAUUUCAGUGCAUGCUGGGAACUUUGUGCCUCACAGAAUGCCGACGAUAAUCUCAAAUAAAAAGCCUCACCCACUGCCACUCCCAGGGAACUUAUAAGCUGUUACAAACCAAAGAACAAAAAAUUAUGAGGGUGCAAUUACAAUUCAGACCAAUGCCUUAAAGGGAACAAUAUGUUCCUGUGAGCAAAGGACCUAAACCAUGGAGGGACAGAAUCUGACUAGAGCAUUGCUGUUUGCUGCUGUUGCUGCUGUAGCUGCUGCUGUCCCAGGGGUCAAGGCUGAGACCAGGACAAAGGGAACCGUCUGGCUGGACUACUGAGAGGGGACUUCACUUCAUACAAUACAAUGUCUGCCUUCCACUCAGUCAAGAAGAGGUUGGCUUUGUAGACAAGAGAGCUGAGAAAACGCAGAGACAAACCCCCAGAUUCAGGGGCUGGACAGACGAUGGUUCAGCAUCCCAGAGCACAAGCUGCUCUCUCAGAGGAUCCAGUGCAGUUGUCAGCAUCCAAUGGCAGCUUACAACAAUCAGAAUUCCCAGGGCAUCCAGUGUCCUCUUCUGGUCUCAGCAACCACCAGGCUCAACCAUGAUACAACAUAUACAAGUGAAGGCAAGAGACUUGUACACACAAAUUAAAAAACAAACCUACGGAACACGAUGGGUCAUUUUAUAGUGUAUCUCCUUGCACAAGGUGGGGGCAGGGUGACAGAGCAUAAAGACAGUCCUCCCUGGUUAAUAUCAAGGCAUGGAGAGUUACCUACUUGUGCAAGGUUGAAGAAGAGAGAAGUAGCUUGGUUGAGAAGUCUGAGGAUCACCUAUCCAAUCAGAACUUUAGCAUCAAUCACCCUGUUUUGAUUUUUAUAGGAAUCUGUUGGAGUCUGGAGCAAGAUAUUAAUAUAAAACAAUGGCCUCCUGUAAUUUUUCCCUAAGAAUUGAAACUUAAUAUCA
Molecule: long non-coding RNA, 2458 nt
Organism: Mus musculus (house mouse)
Lineage: Eukaryota; Metazoa; Chordata; Mammalia; Rodentia; Muridae
Product: predicted gene, 30665
Exons: 3
Source: RefSeq, a predicted model, not a curated record